RNAcentral lists this ribosomal RNA (385 nucleotides) under uncultured bacterium. RNAcentral's name for it is "bacterial SSU rRNA". It matches the Rfam family "Bacterial small subunit ribosomal RNA", at positions 335 to 713 of the family's 1533-position model. The record is from RNAcentral.
ACUCCUACGGGAGGCAGCAGUGGGGAAUAUUGCACAAUGGGGGAAACCCUGAUGCAGCCAUGCCGCGUGUGUGAAGAAGGCCUUGGGUUGUAAAGCACUUUCAGUAGGGAGGAAGGUAGUGUAGUUAACACCUGCAUUAUUUGUACGUUACCUACAGAAGAAGCACCGGCUAACUCCGUGCCAGCAGCCGCGGUAAGUACGGAGGGUGCGAGCGUUAAUCGGAAUUACUGGGCGUAAAGCGCAUGCAGGCGGCCUGUUAAGUCAGAUGUGAAAGCCCGGGGCUUAACCUCGGAAUUGCAUUUGAAACUGGCAGGCUAGAGUCUUGUAGAGGGGUUAGAAUUUCAGGUGUAGCGGUGAAAUGCGUAGAGAUCUGAAGGAUACCAGU